Molecule: ribosomal RNA, 558 nt
Filed under: uncultured bacterium
Lineage: Bacteria
Description: partial 16S ribosomal RNA
Rfam family: Bacterial small subunit ribosomal RNA
Source: RNAcentral
UGGGGAAUAUUGGACAAUGGGCGCAAGCCUGAUCCAGCAAUGCCGCGUGAGUGAUGAAGGCCUUAGGGUUGUAAAGCUCUUUCGCACGCGACGAUGAUGACGGUAGCGUGAGAAGAAGCCCCGGCUAACUUCGUGCCAGCAGCCGCGGUAAUACGAAGGGGGCUAGCGUUGUUCGGAAUUACUGGGCGUAGAGGGCGCGUAGGCGGCCUGUUUAGUCAGAAGUGAAAGCCCCGGGCUCAACCUGGGAAUAGCUUUUGAUACUGGCAGGCUUGAGUUCCGGAGAGGAUGGUGGAAUUCCCAGUGUAGAGGUGAAAUUCGUAGAUAUUGGGAAGAACACCGGUGGCGAAGGCGGCCAUCUGGACGGACACUGACGCUGAGGCGCGAAAGCGUGGGGAGCAAACAGAUUAGAUACCCUGGUAGUCCACGCCGUAAACGAUGAAUGCUAGACGUCGGGUNCAUNCACUUCGGUGUCGCCGCUAACGCAUUAAGCAUUCCGCCUGGGGAGUACGGCCGCAAGGUUAAAACUUAAAUGAAUUGACGGGGUCAUAGCUGUUUCCU